This 1729-nucleotide ribosomal RNA is filed under the name metagenome. Its description in RNAcentral is "SSU rRNA". It matches the Rfam family "Eukaryotic small subunit ribosomal RNA". The record is from RNAcentral.
UCUGGUUGAUCCUGCCAGUAGUCAUAUGCUUGUCUCGAAGAUUAAGCCAUGCAUGUCUAAGUUUAAAUAGUAUACAGUGAAACUGCGAAUGGCUCAUUAAAACAGUUAUAGUUUAUUCGAUAAUGUUUCCUAUAUGGAUAACCGUGGUAAUUCUAGAGCUAAUACAUGCUGUUUGCCCGACGCAAGAAGGGCUGUAUUUAUUAGAUAUUAAACCAAUAUUCCUCUGGUCUAUUGUGGUGAAUCAUAGUAACUGAUCGAAUCUUGGCCAGUCCAAGAUAGGUCGUUCAAGUUUCUGCCCUAUCAGCUUUCGAUGGUAGUGUAUUGGACUACCAUGGCAGUCACGGGUAACGGAGAAUUAGGGUUCGAUUCCGGAGAGGGAGCCUGAGAAACGGCUACCACAUCUAAGGAAGGCAGCAGGCGCGUAAAUUACCCAAUCCUGACUCAGGGAGGUAGUGACAAGAAAUAAUAACCUGGGGACCCCAUGGUCUUACGGGAUUACAAUGAGAACAAUUUAAACGACUUAACGAGGAACAAUUAGAGGGCAAGUCUGGUGCCAGCAGCCGCGGUAAUUCCAGCUCUAAUAGUGUAUAUUAAAGUUGUUGCAGUUAAAAAGCUCGUAGUUGAAUUUCUGGCUGUUGCUGGCGUUGGCUUCGGUCAUGCCAGUGGCGGUCAUCCGUCUGCAAACUGUAUUCAUCCUUCACUGGUUGGUGCAGGGAGUAGACAAUUUACCUUGAAAAAAUUAGAGUGUUUCAGGCAGGCAUUUGCCAGGAUACAUUAGCAUGGAAUAAUGGAAUAGGACUCGUCCUUUUUGUUGGUUAUAGGAUACGAGUAAUGAUUAAUAGGGACAGUUGGGGGCAUUAGUAUUUAAUUGUCAGAGGUGAAAUUCUUGGAUUUAUUGAAGACUAACUUAUGCGAAAGCAUUUGCCAAGGAUGUUUUCAUUAAUCAAGAACGAAAGUUAGGGGAUCAAAGACGAUCAGAUACCGUCCUAGUCUUAACUAUAAACUAUACCGACUCGGGAUCGGCCGGGCAUCUAACCUCGGUCGGCACCGUAUGAGAAAUCAAAGUCUUUAGGUUCUGGGGGGAGUAUGGUCGCAAGGCUGAAACUUAAAGGAAUUGACGGAAGGACACACCAGGUGUGGAGCCUGCGGCUUAAUUUGACCCAACACGGGGAAACUUACCAGGUUAAAACAUCGUUGGGAUUGACAGAUUGAGAGCUCUUUCUUGAUUCGAUGGGUGGUGGUGCAUGGCCGUUCUUAGUUGGUGGAGUGAUUUGUCUGGUUAAUUCCGUUAACGAACGAGACCUUAACCUGCUAACUAGUUCCUUGGUUAAUCACUGGGGUAACUUCUUAGAGGGACUAUGGGAUGGAAGCCCAUGGAAGUUUGAGGCAAUAACAGGUCUGUGAUGCCCUUAGAUAUCCUGGGCCGCACGCGCGCUACAAUGACUCUUUCAGAAAGUUCUAUCCUGGUCCGGAAGGAUUCGGGUAAUCUUUUUAGUAGGAGUCGUGUUAGGGAUCGAUCUUUGGAAUUAUAGAUCUUGAACGAGGAAUAUCUAGUAUGUGCAAGUCAUCAGCUUGUACAGAUUAUGUCCCUGUCUUUUGUACACACCGCCCGUCGCUGCUACCGAUCGAGUGAUCCGGUGAACCUUUUGAAUUGAGUGCCACCUCGUGUGGUAUUUGAGAAGUUAAGUAAACCUUAUCACUUAGAGGAAGCAGAAGUCGUAACAAGGUU